UACGUAGGGUGCAAGCGUUAAUCGGAAUUACUGGGCGUAAAGCGUGCGCAGGCGGUUGGGCAAGACCGAUGUGAAAUCCCCGGGCUUAACCUGGGAAUGGCAUUGGUGACUGCACGGCUAGAGUGUGUCAGAGGGGGGUAGAAUUCCACGUGUAGCAGUGAAAUGCGUAGAGAUGUGGAGGAAUACCGAUGGCGAAGGCAGCCCCCUGGGAUAACACUGACGCUCAUGCACGAAAUCGUGGGGAGCAAACAGG
RNAcentral lists this ribosomal RNA (253 nucleotides) under uncultured bacterium. RNAcentral describes it as "partial 16S ribosomal RNA". It matches the Rfam family "Bacterial small subunit ribosomal RNA", at positions 524 to 776 of the family's 1533-position model. The record is from RNAcentral.